This 1745-nucleotide long non-coding RNA is filed under the name Olea europaea (common olive). RNAcentral describes it as "long non-coding RNA (OEUR_LNC011244)". The record is from RNAcentral. Lineage: Eukaryota; Viridiplantae; Streptophyta; Magnoliopsida; Lamiales; Oleaceae.
UUUUUUUUUUUUUGGGUUAUUAUAUUAUGUGUUAAAUAAUCGAUUUCCAUUUGGUGGAAUUUCGGGUUCAGGAUACCAAUCUCAACCUUAUCAAUACACCCAAGCAAUCACGACCCAAAACCUUUAAACUCUUUCCACACUCCGGUUUCUCAAAAUUUGUACUCACUUAGGACACAAAGGGGACGGUGUUUGUAGCCACAAAGGCUAGAGAAGAACAAGAAGAAACCGAGAGCACAAAGCAAAGAGCAAACUUGAUUUUCUCUCAAACAAGGCCAAACACACGUGAGUGACAAAAAACAAAGAGGCCAACUUAUGUAAGUUAGGUUAGGUUAAAGUGAAGGAACCAAGCCCAAUACAAAUACCCUAAGUGGGCCAACAUAUAUAAGACAUCCAAUAAAUGUAGAAAUCGGGCCAUGAGUAACACUAAUUAAUUAGAUAGCUUCCAAUGGCCCAAAUAGUCUUAGGGUUGGGUCAUCAAUCUUGGGUGUCGAUAUUUAAUUUAUCCAACAUCGAUUUAACAUCAUCGUUCGAAUUAUUGGGUACCAAAACCCAACAAUCUCCACCUUGAUGCCCAAUAAUCUGCAAACAAACAAAAUACACAGUUUAUACUUGCACAAUCAAGGUAAUCCAAUAAAAUUGGUAUCACAGACUUUACCUUGUGUUUUGAACCUGAAACACAUACCGUACUAGCUCUACCAGGGCUAAGGUUCAAAAAUACCCAAAUAAGAAAAAAAUAUUCAUAGUGAACAAAUAAUCAUGCGAUGAAGAUAUUAUAUAGGAUAAUACACAGAUCUUUUCAAAAUCACGUUCACACAGAACCACACAUUAACACCAAGUUAAUCAACAUACGGUCAAACAAAUAUGCAACAAAUGCAUAAAUGACCCCCGAAAAUAUCUCACCACACAUAUCCUAUCCUAUUUCGUGUUACUCCCAUCUCGAGAACACAUAUCUCCUCUCAUUGUCCACCAUGCUCACUAGAUAAUCGCUCAACUCAUGUGUAACUGGAAAGUCACAAUAGAUCCUAAGCUCUCGGGAUAAUCCUCUAUCACCACAUCACUUUUCCCAACCUACGUGGAUAUUGGGUUUCUACCUUACCAAAGUGAUAAAAGUGCCUCUUCACACUCCACCUGUAUAGGGUCUCUUUCAUAGAUAAAGGAUUCUAAACAUUUGAUCACAUCUCCACUCGUGAUCCAAAUGUCACACUCCACAUCCCUGGUACAAACCACAAUGUACCCCUAGGCAUCUAUACUCACCUUAUCAAAAGACAUCUGACUCACUGUUAAUGCAUCCUAACCCACUAUGCAUGUAAACGAUUACAUCAAUUAAUCACAUUAUUUUAAAUUCAUGCAAACACACCUAUCAAACAAAUUAAAAUGCAACAUAUAAUCAUACAAUAGAAUUAGGCAAUCACACACAUGUAAAAAAGAUCACACACAAAUACAUAUGCAGUAGCUAGAUUUAAUCUCAAUAAACCUCACUAGGGUCAUAACUCGACCCCUCAAUCAAAUUUGUCUCAUCCCUCACAUUACUCUUCUGCUUAUCCUUCUUCUUGGAACAAUCCCUAAUAAAGUGUCUAGACUUACCACAAUUGUAACACCGUUUACCAUGAGACUUGUCUCAUCCCUUGCCCUUCUUCUUACUACCUUCAUCACUCGAGUCACUACUUGAAUCACCACUAUUUUGAGCUCUACCCAAGUUCAUUUGCUUAAAUUUCAUCCUACUCCUUAUUAGGUGUAACUCACCG